CUUGCUCUUCAGAUCGAGUGGCGAACGGGUGAGUAACGCGUGAGGAACCCGCCUCAAAGAGGGGGACAACAGUUGGAAACGACUGCUAAUACCGCAUAAGCCCACGGCUCGGCAUCGAGCAGAGGGAAAAGGAGUGAUCCGCUUUGAGAUGGCCUCGCGUCCGAUUAGCUGGUUGGUGAGGUAACGGCCCACCAAGGCGACGAUCGGUAGCCGGACUGAGAGGUUGAACGGCCACAUUGGGACUGAGACACGGCCCAGACUCCUACGGGAGGCAGCAGUGGGGAAUAUUGCACAAUGGGGGAAACCCUGAUGCAGCGACGCCGCGUGGAGGAAGAAAGUCUUCGGAUUGUAAACUCCUGUUGUUGAGGAAGAUAAUGACGGUACUCAACAAAGGAAGUGACGGCUAACUACGUGCCAGCAGCCGCGGUAAAACGUAGGUCACAAGCGUUGUCCGGAAUUACUGGGUGUAAAGGGAGCGCAGGCGGGAGAACAAGUUGGAAGUGAAUCCAUGGGCUCAACCCAUGAACUGCUUUCAAAACUGUUUUUCUUGAGUAGUGCAGAGGUAGGCGGAAUUCCCGGUGUAGCGGUGGAAUGCGUAGAUAUCGGGAGGAACACCAGUGGCGAAGGCGGCCUACUGGGCACCAACUGACGCUGAGGCUCGAAAGUGUGGGUAGCAAACAGGAUUAGAUACCCUGGUAGUCCACACCGUAAAGGAUGAUUAUUAGGUGUCGGAGGAUUGACCC
Molecule: ribosomal RNA, 743 nt
Filed under: uncultured bacterium
Lineage: Bacteria
Description: bacterial SSU rRNA
Rfam family: Bacterial small subunit ribosomal RNA
Source: RNAcentral